GCGUCGGUGGUCCAAUGGUUACGAUUCGACAUUCCCAUGGUCACUGCGGAAACUAUCGAUAGUGUCAGUCUUCUGACGAUGUCGAGACCCGGGUUCGAUUCCCGGCCGACGCA
The sequence is a transfer RNA, 113 nucleotides long. It matches the Rfam family "tRNA". From Rfam's summary of the family: Transfer RNA (tRNA) molecules are approximately 80 nucleotides in length. Their secondary structure includes four short double-helical elements and three loops (D, anti-codon, and T loops). The record is from Rfam.